This 947-nucleotide ribosomal RNA is filed under the name uncultured bacterium. RNAcentral describes it as "bacterial SSU rRNA". It matches the Rfam family "Bacterial small subunit ribosomal RNA", at positions 9 to 1002 of the family's 1533-position model. The record is from RNAcentral.
GAGUUUGAUCCUGGCUCAGGAUGAACGCUGGCGGCGUGCUUAACACAUGCAAGUCGAACGAACCUUCGGGUGAGUGGCGGACGGGUGAGUAACGCGUGGGAAUCUGCCCUCAGGAGGGGGAUAACGGCUGGAAACGGCCGCUAAUACCCCAUAUGCCGAGAGGUGAAAUGAAUUUCGCCUGAGGAUGAGCCCGCGUCUGAUUAGCUAGUUGGUGAGGUAAGAGCUCACCAAGGCAUCGAUCAGUAGCUGGUCUGAGAGGAUGAUCAGCCACACUGGGACUGAGACACGGCCCAGACUCCUACGGGAGGCAGCAGUGGGGAAUUUUCCGCAAUGGGCGAAAGCCUGACGGAGCAACGCCGCGUGAGGGAUGAAGGCCUCUGGGCUGUAAACCUCUUUUCUCAAGGAAGAAGAUCUGACGGUACUUGAGGAAUAAGCCACGGCUAAUUCCGUGCCAGCAGCCGCGGUAAUACGGGAGUGGCAAGCGUUAUCCGGAAUUAUUGGGCGUAAAGCGUCCGCAGGCGGCCCUUCAAGUCUGCUGUUAAAACGUGGAGCUUAACUCCAUCAUGGCAGUGGAAACUGUUGGGCUUGAGUGUGGUAGGGGCAGAGGGAAUUCCCGGUGUAGCGGUGAAAUGCGUAGAUAUCGGGAAGAACACCAGUGGCGAAGGCGCUCUGCUGGGCCAUAACUGACGCUCAUGGACGAAAGCCAGGGGAGCGAAAGGGAUUAGAUACCCCUGUAGUCCUGGCCGUAAACGAUGAACACUAGGUGUCGGGGGAAUCGACCCCCUCGGUGUCGUAGCCAACGCGUUAAGUGUUCCGCCUGGGGAGUACGCACGCAAGUGUGAAACUCAAAGGAAUUGACGGGGGCCCGCACAAGCGGUGGAGUAUGUGGUUUAAUUCGAUGCAACGCGAAGAACCUUACCAGGGUUUGACAUCCUGCGAACCUCUUG